AACAGUUUUUGUCAUUCUUUUGUGUCUGUCAUUCCUCUGCUGUCUUUUACCUUUUAAAUUUUUUCCUCUUAAACUGUUAGUCCAAAUGAAACCAAUAGUUGACGCAAAAGACUUGCUAUACAUCGUAUCUGAUGAUGAAAAAACAGUGAACCAACGCAGCUGCCCUUACUAUAAAUAGACAUACAUUUGUGUUAUGUGGCCAACUAAAACCCACCUCC
This 218-nucleotide long non-coding RNA is filed under the name Mytilus galloprovincialis (Mediterranean mussel). Lineage: Eukaryota; Metazoa; Mollusca; Bivalvia; Mytilida; Mytilidae. The record is from RNAcentral.